GGCUGGUUAGGUCAGUUGGUUAGAGGGUGGUGCUAAUAACGCCAAGGUCGCAGGUUCGAUCCCGGUACGGGCCA
Colius striatus (speckled mousebird) is the source of this 74-nucleotide non-coding RNA. The record is from Rfam. Lineage: Eukaryota; Metazoa; Chordata; Aves; Coliiformes; Coliidae.